ACCGUGUGCUUUACACAUCCUGAUUUCAACUUUGCUUUUGUUCUCUAGGGUGAAUAACUGCAUUGGAUUUUCUAACUACAAAUUCUUUCUACUGUUCUUAGCCUAUUCUUUGUUGUAUUGCUUGUAUAUUGCUGCAACAGUCUUCAAGUAUUUCAUUAAGUAUUGGACAGGUGAGCUGACUAACAGACGUUCCAAAUUUCACGUCCUUUUCCUUCUCUUUGUGGCGGUCACGUUCUUUGUAAGAUGGCGGCCAGGGUGGGGACACAUGGAGGCGAUGCUCUGCCAGGCCCACGGUCGCAGGACGGGCAGCUGGCAGUGGCUCCUGGCUCAUCUGCUGCCCGGAGCCUGGCCAGGACAGCAGCUGCCUCAGCCUUUGCAGCAGCUGCAGAAAUGGGUUUGUGUUCUCUGGAUGCUUGUUUUUAACCAAGUGCUGAAACUUCUACAGUUCAAGCUGUUAAUUAGCUGAUGCUGCAUGGCCAGUAAUAAACAUCAAUAUGUCAGACUUUUAA
This is a long non-coding RNA of Falco peregrinus (peregrine falcon), 509 nucleotides long. RefSeq lists it as uncharacterized. The transcript is spliced from 2 exons. Lineage: Eukaryota; Metazoa; Chordata; Aves; Falconiformes; Falconidae. The record is from RefSeq and is a predicted model, not a curated record.